AUUGAACGCUGGCGGCAGGCCUAACACAUGCAAGUCGAGCGGAUGAAGGGAGCUUGCUCCUGGAUUCAGCGGCGGACGGGUGAGUAAUUCCUAGGAAUCUGCCUGGUAGUGGGGGAUAACGUCCGGAAACGGGCGCUAAUACCGCAUACGUCCUGAGGGAGAAAGUGUGGGAUCUUCGGACCUCACGCUAUCAUAUUAGCCUAGGUCGGAUUAGCUAGUUGGUGGGGUAAAGGCCUACCAAGGCGACGAUCCGUAACUGGUCUGAGAGGAUGAUCAGUCACACUGGAACUGAGACACGGUCCAGACUACUACGGGAGGCAGCAGUGGGGAAUAUUGGACAAUGGGCGAAAGCCUGAUCCAGCCAUGCCGCGUGUGUGAAGAAGGUCUUCGGAUUUUACAGCACUUUAAGUUGGGAGGAAGGGCAGUAAGUUAAUACCUUGCUGUUUUGACGUUACCAACAGAAUAAGCACCGGCUAACUUCGUG
RNAcentral lists this ribosomal RNA (484 nucleotides) under uncultured bacterium. Its description in RNAcentral is "partial 16S ribosomal RNA". It matches the Rfam family "Bacterial small subunit ribosomal RNA", at positions 30 to 507 of the family's 1533-position model. The record is from RNAcentral.